This 200-nucleotide unclassified non-coding RNA is filed under the name soil metagenome. RNAcentral's name for it is "partial contains internal transcribed spacer 2 and large subunit ribosomal RNA". The record is from RNAcentral.
GUCAUCUACACCCUCAAGCUCUGCUUGGUGUUGGGCGUCUGUCCCGCCUCUGCGCGCGGACUCGCCCCAAAUUCAUUGGCAGCGGUCUUUGCCUCCUCUCGCGCAGCACAAUUGCGUCUGCGGGGGGGCGUGGCCCGCGUCCACGAAGCAACAUUACCGUCUUUGACCUCGGAUCAGGUAGGGAUACCCGCUGAACUUAA